Molecule: small nucleolar RNA, 129 nt
Organism: Manihot esculenta (cassava)
Lineage: Eukaryota; Viridiplantae; Streptophyta; Magnoliopsida; Malpighiales; Euphorbiaceae
Product: small nucleolar RNA snoR74
Exons: 1
Source: RefSeq, a predicted model, not a curated record
GAAAAAGCAGUGCCUUGUUACCUAUUGUGAACUGGGUUCUCGUAAACUUCAGGGAAAUUGUUUUCAUUGUUAUUGGGUGAACCUCUUUUAUUCACAUUGACUGUUGGUUCAGUAAAUGAUGGAAAAUUA